Molecule: long non-coding RNA, 1010 nt
Organism: Ricinus communis (castor bean)
Lineage: Eukaryota; Viridiplantae; Streptophyta; Magnoliopsida; Malpighiales; Euphorbiaceae
Exons: 2
Source: RefSeq, a predicted model, not a curated record
AUUGCCAUCUCAUUCUUCUAAUUGUUAAUGCUUUUUGCUGAAAGACAGAAUUGAAUUACGAUGAAAAAAGAACUUGAAAGUAUUUCUGAUUGAACCAUAUGUGUCUAUUUCAAGUUAUUGAGCUUAGUUUGUAAUGCAGUUAUCUGUCCAAGUUACUGAACUUAGUUUCCAAAAACAGCCAGCAUUUCCACGCAAACUAGAGAGAUUAUUAAGUACCCACAAAUUUGGAAGUCACAAAGGACUAGACGAGCAGCUAAGUGUGAAAAGGACUAGAUCAUACUCUAUAAUGCCCGAAACUUUUAUUGAAAUUAAAAUUUUAGCCAUCUUUGUAUACUUUUCUAUAGAUUCUUAUUUGCUGCAAUACCUACUUCAUCAAGGAUUACUGGAUAAUAAGUUGCAGAUUGCAUCUGCUUGAAAGGCCAUUGCUAAGCAGAUGUGUUGUCAUAAAGAAGGCAUAAUUAUUAUUCUGUAUGUUAAACAGCACCACAGGAAGAUGGCAAGAUAUCUUAUAAGCUAUGGAAAUUCGAACCUAUUCAUUAAAGAAAUAGAGAACUUGUUUCCCAGCGCAAAAGAAUGUGACAGAGCUUCUGUUCCAGCUAUUCACAAUUCUGGGAUGGGGUUUUCUUAUACAAUUUUCAUUUUAUGGGAGGCUUUCAAAAUGCUGCUAGUUGUAGCUUCUUUGAGCUUAAUAUUGGACAUUUUGCUGUUUCUUUCUCCCUUUUAUGGUUAUAUGAGCUUGAUAAAGGGAUAUGACCAUUUUUGGAUCUUAAGUGGCCAUCUUUAGGAUGGUAGGUAUAAUGCAAAUGUAAGUGGAUGAGUUCCUAGUUAGAAACAUAUACAAAGUUGUCAUGUACCAGUAUUAAUUGUUAGCCACAAGUAUGGAUUGUGCUAAUUGUAGAGGCUGUGAUUGUUUGUAAGUAGCUCAAUUGUAAUCUGUGUAUAUAAAUACCAGUUGAUGUUGCAAGAGUAUCCAAUUGAUAGCAGCCAAUUGCAAACUGUUUUUCUUUCAA